UACGGGGGGAGCAAGCGUUGUUCGGAUUUACUGGGCGUAAAGGGUGCGCAGGCGGUCUCGUAAGCUGGGUGUGAAAGCCCCGGGCUUAACCUGGGAAUGGCAUUCAGGACUGCGAGGCUUUGAGUGUGGCAGAGGGAGGUGGAAUUCCACGUGUAGCAGUGAAAUGCGUAGAGAUGUGGAGGAACACCGACGGCGAAGGCAGCCUCCUGGGCCAGCACUGACGCUCAUGCACGAAAGCGUGGGGAGCAAACAGG
This 254-nucleotide ribosomal RNA is filed under the name uncultured bacterium. RNAcentral describes it as "partial 16S ribosomal RNA". It matches the Rfam family "Bacterial small subunit ribosomal RNA", at positions 524 to 776 of the family's 1533-position model. The record is from RNAcentral.